Molecule: ribosomal RNA, 503 nt
Filed under: uncultured bacterium
Lineage: Bacteria
Description: partial 16S ribosomal RNA
Rfam family: Bacterial small subunit ribosomal RNA
Source: RNAcentral
ACUCAAAGGAAUAGACGGGGGUCCGCACAAGCGGUGGAACAUGUGGUUUAAUUCGAAACUACGCGAGGAACCUUACCUGGGCUUGACAUGUAAUCGCUACCGGUGGAAACAUUGGGUUCUGUAGUAAUACAGACGGUUACACAGGUGCUGCAUGGCUGUCGUCAGCUCGUGUCGUGAGACGUCGGGUUAAGUCCUUGAACGAGCGCAACCCUUGCCGUUAGUUGCACGUCCGAAAGGAAUGCACUCUAGCGGGACUGCCUAGGAAACUAGGAGGAAGGUGGGGAUGACGUCAAGUCCUCAUGGCCCUUAUGCCCAGGGCUACACACGUGUUACAAUGGCGAAGAACAAAGGGGUGCGAAGUCGCGAGAUGGAGCAAAUCCUGUAAAAUUCGUCUAAGUUCAGAUUGAAGUCUGCAACUCGACUUCAUGAAGUUGAAAUCGCUAGUAAUCGUAUAUCAGAACGAUACGGUGAAUACGUUCUCGGACCUUGUACACACCGCCCGU